This is a long non-coding RNA of Gossypium arboreum, 924 nucleotides long. RefSeq lists it as uncharacterized. NCBI's taxonomy places the organism in Eukaryota, Viridiplantae, Streptophyta, Magnoliopsida, Malvales, Malvaceae. The transcript has 3 exons. The record is from RefSeq and is a predicted model, not a curated record.
CAUUAAACAAAGGUCUCUAGCCCAAGGUACACAACCGAUUCAUACCACCAAUAAGAAAAAUAGAAAAGAAAAGUAAACGGAAACAAUAAAUAAACCAAAACCAAAAAACCCCCCACGAGACCCUAGAAACCAAAUCGACAGAGGAAAGCCAGAUAAAAUCUCCCCAAAACUAAAUCAACACAGCUACAUGAACUUAAAACAAUAUAUUUCAGAGAGAAAGAGCUUCGAUGAUUUUCAUGGACUACAAACUAAACUUUCUCCAUUCCUCAAAGCUGUUAAAAACUACCCAUUUCUCAGCAUAGCUAGAUACCCCAGCUCGUAUCCACAGCUCGAUUGACCAUCUCUGGGGCUUCUUCCACCCAGUACUUAAGCUCUUGAAAUCGACGAUCUUCUCCCACUAGCACAUGCGCCACUGCGUUGGCUUCUCUGCGGACAAAUCGAUAACGAGUCUUAUUCUAGAUGGACAUUUUGAAAUCCCAGCUCCACUUCAAAAAUAAUCGCCCGUUCACACGCACUGGCCUCUGCUAAGAAGAUGAGGGGGUCACACAGCUGGACCAUACGCCCUAAGGCUGACCGUGUGUCAAACAUGGCCUAGACACACGCUUGUGUGUCUACUGGUGUGGGCAAUAUAAGGCUAUUUACCAAACCUCAUUGCCACCAUUGCAUACCUAUUUUCACGCAAAUACCAGCCAAUACCAAAACAAGCAUAAUUUCCAAAAUCAAAUCAGCCACAAUAGACAUUCAUUCAACCAUGUAAAUGCAACUUUUAUAAAAGCCAUCAUUCAUGGCUUAAUAUUAAGUGUAGGAUCUAUCCCAAGCCAACACAUUUGGCCAAAUCUCCAAGACUCAAAAUAAUAAGUUCUAAUCCUAUACAUGCCAUAUUCAAAAGUAUAAAUUCAACUAUACCCAAUGUUUCGGCUGAUA